RNAcentral lists this ribosomal RNA (417 nucleotides) under uncultured bacterium. Its description in RNAcentral is "bacterial SSU rRNA". It matches the Rfam family "Bacterial small subunit ribosomal RNA", at positions 506 to 920 of the family's 1533-position model. The record is from RNAcentral.
AGCCAGCAGCCGCGGUAAUACGUAGGGUGCAAGCGUUGUCCGGAAUUAUUGGGCGUAAAGAGCUCGUAGGCGGUCUGUUGCGUCGGCUGUGAAAACCCGAGGCUCAACCUCGGGCCUGCAGUCGAUACGGGCAGACUAGAGUUCGGUAGGGGAGACUGGAAUUCCUGGUGUAGCGGUGAAAUGCGCAGAUAUCAGGAGGAACACCGGUGGCGAAGGCGGGUCUCUGGGCCGAAACUGACGCUGAGGAGCGAAAGCGUGGGGAGCAAACAGGAUUAGAUACCCUGGUAGUCCACGCCGUAAACGUUGGGCGCUAGGUGUGGGGGGUAUUCCACUCCCUCCGUGCCGCAGCUAACGCAUUAAGCGCCCCGCCUGGGGAGUACGGCCGCAAGGCUAAAACUUAAAGGAAUUGGCGGGGGA